AUCCUUUUCCGGUUCAUGAGCAUGAUGAUUGGGUGUUCACACGGCUGUGUGACAUGUGCCUCCCUUCACUCUUGUUACGCAUCUGGCACAUUACCCGUCUGACC
Sorex araneus (European shrew) is the source of this 104-nucleotide small nucleolar RNA. RefSeq annotates it as small nucleolar RNA U13. The transcript has a single exon. Lineage: Eukaryota; Metazoa; Chordata; Mammalia; Eulipotyphla; Soricidae. The record is from RefSeq and is a predicted model, not a curated record.